Molecule: non-coding RNA, 78 nt
Filed under: uncultured Bacteroides sp.
Lineage: Bacteria; Pseudomonadati; Bacteroidota; Bacteroidia; Bacteroidales; Bacteroidaceae
Description: TPP riboswitch (THI element)
Rfam family: TPP riboswitch aptamer (THI element)
About the family: Vitamin B(1) in its active form thiamin pyrophosphate (TPP) is an essential coenzyme that is synthesised by coupling of pyrimidine and thiazole moieties in bacteria. The previously detected thiamin-regulatory element, thi box was extended, resulting in a new, highly conserved RNA secondary structure, the THI element, which is widely distributed in eubacteria and also occurs in some archaea. Analysis of operon structures identified a large number of new candidate thiamin-regulated genes, mostly transporters, in various prokaryotic organisms.
Source: RNAcentral
AAAGGGGUGCUCGUAUGGGACGGGCUGAGAUUAUACCCUCAAACCUGAUUCGGAUAAUACCGACGUAGGAAUUGUGAA